RNAcentral lists this transfer RNA (75 nucleotides) under Candidatus Woesearchaeota archaeon. RNAcentral describes it as "tRNA-Arg". It matches the Rfam family "tRNA". From Rfam's summary of the family: Transfer RNA (tRNA) molecules are approximately 80 nucleotides in length. Their secondary structure includes four short double-helical elements and three loops (D, anti-codon, and T loops). The record is from RNAcentral. Lineage: Archaea; Nanobdellati; Candidatus Woesearchaeota.
GGGCGUGUAGCGCAACCUGGAUAGCGCGAGUCACUCCUAAUGACUAGGUUGUGGGUUCAAAUCCCAUCACGCCCG